This 639-nucleotide ribosomal RNA is filed under the name Neonectria lugdunensis. RNAcentral's name for it is "SSU rRNA". It matches the Rfam family "Eukaryotic small subunit ribosomal RNA", at positions 113 to 760 of the family's 1831-position model. Lineage: Eukaryota; Fungi; Ascomycota; Sordariomycetes; Hypocreales; Nectriaceae. The record is from RNAcentral.
GCGUUUAUUUGAUAGUACCUUACUACUUGGAUAACCGUGGUAAUUCUAGAGAUAAUACAUGCUAUACAUCCCGACUUCGGAAGGGAUGUAUUUAUUAGAUUAAAAACCAAUGCCCUUCGGGGCUCCUUGGUGAUUCAUGAUAACUUCUCGAAUCGCAUGGCCUUGUGCCGGCGAUGGUUCAUUCAAAUUUCUUCCCUAUCAACUUUCGAUGUUUGGGUAUUGGCCAAACAUGGUUGCAACGGGUAACGGAGGGUUAGGGCUCGACCCCGGAGAAGGAGCCUGAGAAACGGCUACUACAUCCAAGGAAGGCAGCAGGCGCGCAAAUUACCCAAUCCCGACACGGGGAGGUAGUGACAAUAAAUACUGAUACAGGGCUCUUUUGGGUCUUGUAAUUGGAAUGAGUACAAUUUAAAUCCCUUAACGAGGAACAAUUGGAGGGCAAGUCUGGUGCCAGCAGCCGCGGUAAUUCCAGCUCCAAUAGCGUAUAUUAAAGUUGUUGUGGUUAAAAAGCUCGUAGUUGAACCUUGGGCCUGGCUGGCCGGUCCGCCUCACCGCGUGUACUGGUCCGGCCGGGCCUUUCCCUCUGUGGAACCCCAUGCCCUUCACNNNGUGUGGNNNGGAACAGGANNNUUACUUUGA